RNAcentral lists this ribosomal RNA (87 nucleotides) under Sphenodon punctatus (tuatara). The record is from RNAcentral. Lineage: Eukaryota; Metazoa; Chordata; Lepidosauria; Sphenodontia; Sphenodontidae.
GUCUACGGCCACACCGGACCAAAUGCGCCCAAUUCUGUCUGAUCUCGGAAGCUAAGCAGUCCUGGGCCUAGCUAGUCCUCUUUGAUU